This 422-nucleotide ribosomal RNA is filed under the name Modisimus sp. 3 BAH-2009. RNAcentral describes it as "partial 16S ribosomal RNA". The record is from RNAcentral. Lineage: Eukaryota; Metazoa; Arthropoda; Arachnida; Araneae; Pholcidae.
AUUUCUUUAAGUUAUAAUUUAAAGUAUAACCUGCUCAAUGUAAUAUAAUAAAUAGCUGCAGAUAUAUCUGUACUAAGGUAGCAUAAUCAUUAGCCUUCUAAUUAAAGGAUAGAAUGAAUGGUUUAAACGAAGUAAAAACUGUUUUCUGUGCUUUAAACAAUUAAAUUCUAAUAAAAGUCAAAAUACUUUUCUAUUAAAGAAAGACGACAAGACCCUAAUAAACUUAACUUUUGGCUGGGGCGGCAAAAUAAUUAAAACUUAAUAUUAAAAAUAUAUUUCUAUAUUUAUUAUACUAAUAAUCAAGUUACUAUAGGGAUAACAGCGUUAUUUAAAUUUAAAGAUCUCAUUAAAAUUUAAAGUUUGCGACCUCGAUGUUGAAUUAAUUUUACUUUAUAAAGCAAAAUUUAUAAAAGAAGGCCUGU